Molecule: ribosomal RNA, 253 nt
Filed under: uncultured bacterium
Lineage: Bacteria
Description: partial 16S ribosomal RNA
Rfam family: Bacterial small subunit ribosomal RNA
Source: RNAcentral
UACGUAGGGUGCGAGCGUUGUCCGGAUUUAUUGGGCGUAAAGCGCUCGCAGGUGGUUCGUCGCGUCGUGCGUGAAAGACCCCGGCUCAACUGGGGAGGGUCGUGCGAUACGGGCGGACUGGAGGCCAGUAGGGGGAUGCGGAAUUCCGGGUGUAGUGGUGGAAUGCGUAGAGAUCCGGAGGAACACCAGCGGCGAAGGCGGCAUCCUGGACUGGUCCUGACACUCAUGAGCGAAAGCGUGGGGAGCGAUCCGG